Molecule: ribosomal RNA, 535 nt
Rfam family: 5.8S ribosomal RNA (bases 153-306)
UCCCACCCGUGUUUACUGUACCUUAGUUGCUUCGGCGGGCCCGCCAUUCAUGGCCGCCGGGGGCUCUCAGCCCCGGGCCCGCGCCCGCCGGAGACACCACGAACUCUGUCUGAUCUAGUGAAGUCUGAGUUGAUUGUAUCGCAAUCAGUUAAAACUUUCAACAAUGGAUCUCUUGGUUCCGGCAUCGAUGAAGAACGCAGCGAAAUGCGAUAACUAGUGUGAAUUGCAGAAUUCCGUGAAUCAUCGAGUCUUUGAACGCACAUUGCGCCCCCUGGUAUUCCGGGGGGCAUGCCUGUCCGAGCGUCAUUGCUGCCCAUCAAGCACGGCUUGUGUGUUGGGUCGUCGUCCCCUCUCCGGGGGGGACGGGCCCCAAAGGCAGCGGCGGCACCGCGUCCGAUCCUCGAGCGUAUGGGGCUUUGUCACCCGCUCUGUAGGCCCGGCCGGCGCUUGCCGAACGCAAAUCAAUCUUUUUCCAGGUUGACCUCGGAUCAGGUAGGGAUACCCGCUGAACUUAAGCAUAUCAAUAAGCGGAGGA